UACGUAGGUGGCAAGCGUUGUCCGGAAUUAUUGGGCGUAAAGCGCGCGCAGGCGGCUUUGCAAGACAGAUGUGAAAUCCCCGGGCUCAACCUGGGAACUGCAUUUGUGACUGCAUGGCUGGAGUGCGGCAGAGGGGGAUGGAAUUCCGCGUGUAGCAGUGAAAUGCGUAGAUAUGCGGAGGAACACCGAUGGCGAAGGCAAUCCCCUGGGCCUGCACUGACGCUCAUGCACGAAAGCGUGGGGAGCAAACAGG
Molecule: ribosomal RNA, 253 nt
Filed under: uncultured bacterium
Lineage: Bacteria
Description: partial 16S ribosomal RNA
Rfam family: Bacterial small subunit ribosomal RNA
Source: RNAcentral